RNAcentral lists this transfer RNA (71 nucleotides) under bacterium. RNAcentral's name for it is "tRNA-Gly". It matches the Rfam family "tRNA". From Rfam's summary of the family: Transfer RNA (tRNA) molecules are approximately 80 nucleotides in length. The record is from RNAcentral. RNAcentral also lists the same sequence under 1 other name.
GCGGGUAUAAUUUAAUGGUAGAAUGGCACUCUUCCAAAGUGCAUACCGGAGUUCGAUUCUCCGUACCCGCA